UUCAUUUCAAAGGGUGGUUUUUGCUUGUUUCCCACGAAUAUUUUAUUUAUUACCUAAAUAUAUUUUUGGCAGUAGUGAAUAUGACCCUACUAGUAACUCCUUACACGAGACCAAUAUUUAUACGUUUCCCGGUCAAUAAAUAUUCAAAAAGUCAAACUUUCUGUUCCAACUCACGUAAGCACGAAUCCACCGUCGUUUAGAUUUGAUGAUAUAUCAAUACAAAUAAAUUAAUAAAAUGUAUUAUUAUUAUUUU
Molecule: long non-coding RNA, 253 nt
Filed under: Carica papaya (papaya)
Lineage: Eukaryota; Viridiplantae; Streptophyta; Magnoliopsida; Brassicales; Caricaceae
Description: long non-coding RNA (CPAP_LNC012303)
Source: RNAcentral